RNAcentral lists this ribosomal RNA (253 nucleotides) under uncultured bacterium. Its description in RNAcentral is "partial 16S ribosomal RNA". It matches the Rfam family "Bacterial small subunit ribosomal RNA", at positions 524 to 776 of the family's 1533-position model. The record is from RNAcentral.
UACGUAGGGUGCGAGCGUUAAUCGGAAUUACUGGGCGUAAAGCGUGCGCAGGCGGUUGCGCAAGACAGAUGUGAAAUCCCCGGGCUCAACCUGGGAAUUGCAUUUGUGACUGCACGGCUAGAGUGUGUCAGAGGGGGGUAGAAUUCCACGUGUAGCAGUGAAAUGCGUAGAGAUGUGGAGGAAUACCGAUGGCGAAGGCAGCCCCCUGGGAUAACACUGACGCUCAUGCACGAAAGCGUGGGGAGCAAACAGG